GAUGAACGCUGGCGGCGUGCCUAAUACAUGCAAGUCGAGCGAACGGACGAGAAGCUUGCUUCUCUGAUGUUAGCGGCGGACGUGUGAGUAACACGUGGAUAACCUACCUAUAAGACUGGGAUAACUUCGGGAAACCGGAGCUAAUACCGGAUAAUAUUUUGAACCGCAUGGUUCAAAAGUGAAAGACGGUCUUGCAGUCACUUAUAGAUGGAUCCGCGCUGCAUUAGCUAGUUGGUAAGGUAACGGCUUACCAAGGCAACGAUGCAUAGCCGACCUGAGAGGGUGAUCGGCCACACUGGAACUGAGACACGGUCCAGACUCCUACGGGAGGCAGCAGUAGGGAAUCUUCCGCAAUGGGCGAAAGCCUGACGGAGCAACGCCGCGUGAGUGAUGAAGGUCUUCGGAUCGUAAAACUCUGUUAUUAGGGAAGAACAUAUGUGUAAGUAACUGUGCACAUCUUGACGGUACCUAAUCAGAAAGCCACGGCUAACUACGUG
RNAcentral lists this ribosomal RNA (497 nucleotides) under uncultured bacterium. RNAcentral's name for it is "partial 16S ribosomal RNA". It matches the Rfam family "Bacterial small subunit ribosomal RNA", at positions 28 to 507 of the family's 1533-position model. The record is from RNAcentral.